Molecule: ribosomal RNA, 810 nt
Filed under: Rothia kristinae
Lineage: Bacteria; Bacillati; Actinomycetota; Actinomycetes; Micrococcales; Micrococcaceae
Description: bacterial SSU rRNA
Rfam family: Bacterial small subunit ribosomal RNA
Source: RNAcentral
GUUUGAUCCUGGCUCAGGACGAACGCUGGCGGCGUGCUUAACACAUGCAAGUCGAACGCUGAAGCCUGGUGCUUGCACCGGGUGGAUGAGUGGCGAACGGGUGAGUAAUACGUGAGUGACCUGCCUUUGACUCUGGGAUAAGCCUGGGAAACUGGGUCUAAUACCGGAUGCGACUACUGCCCGCAUGGGCUGGUGGUGGAAAGGGUUAUGUACUGGUCUUAGAUGGGCUCACGGCCUAUCAGCUGGUUGGUGGGGUAAUGGCCUACCAAGGCGACGACGGGUAGCCGGCCUGAGAGGGUGACCGGCCACACUGGGACUGAGACACGGCCCAGACUCCUACGGGAGGCAGCAGUGGGGAAUAUUGCACAAUGGGCGCAAGCCUGAUGCAGCGACGCCGCGUGAGGGAUGACGGCCUUCGGGUUGUAAACCUCUUUCAGCAGGGAAGAAGCGGAAGUGACGGUACCUGCAGAAGAAGCGCCGGCUAACUACGUGCCAGCAGCCGCGGUAAUACGUAGGGCGCAAGCGUUGUCCGGAAUUAUUGGGCGUAAAGAGCUCGUAGGCGGCUUGUCGCGUCUGCUGUGAAAGCCCGGGGCUUAACUCCGGGUGUGCAGUGGGUACGGGCAGGCUAGAGUGCAGUAGGGGUAACUGGAAUUCCUGGUGUAGCGGUGAAAUGCGCAGAUAUCAGGAGGAACACCGAUGGCGAAGGCAGGUUACUGGGCUGUUACUGACGCUGAGGAGCGAAAGCAUGGGGAGCGAACAGGAUUAGAUACCCUGGUAGUCCAUGCCGUAAACGUUGGGCACUAGGUGUGG